Molecule: long non-coding RNA, 464 nt
Organism: Helianthus annuus (common sunflower)
Lineage: Eukaryota; Viridiplantae; Streptophyta; Magnoliopsida; Asterales; Asteraceae
Exons: 4
Source: RefSeq, a predicted model, not a curated record
UAAAAAAAACACACACAUACAUGUGUGUACGUAUGCGAUCAGAAGAAGGAGCCAGGAGAGCUCAAACCCUAGUUCAACAAAUCCUCCAAAUCGAAGCUCAAAUCAAGCCCGAAUCGUCUGCAUGAUUACAAAUUCGUGAUCGCCUAGUCGUGGGGAUCAUAAGUUGACUCUAAACAAGCUAGGUGGGAGCUUGAAAAGGAACAGGUCAAACGGAUCAUGGAUGCGAAGAAUGUUUGCCCGGACGCGAGGGUAAAACGGCUUAUGGAAUUUACGUGGCUAUGAAUCAGCAAAUUAUUAAGGCAAGGUAUUAAAACGGGUCAAUACUUUGACCCGCGCCAGGUACAUUUUGGAUGCCGGAAGAUGAUCAAGCUCGACGAAGGACCGAACACGAUAUAGAUACAUGCUUCCGCACUUUAACACUUUGCAAAUUUUAAACAACGAAUUCAACCAAGUUAUGUAGAAUA